This 46-nucleotide non-coding RNA is filed under the name Schistosoma haematobium. Lineage: Eukaryota; Metazoa; Platyhelminthes; Trematoda; Strigeidida; Schistosomatidae. RNAcentral also lists the same sequence under 1 other name. The record is from RNAcentral.
GCACUGCGGAGGAGUCCCAUACUAGGACGAAACGGCCGUCUAGUGC